This 500-nucleotide ribosomal RNA is filed under the name uncultured Lachnospiraceae bacterium. Its description in RNAcentral is "bacterial SSU rRNA". It matches the Rfam family "Bacterial small subunit ribosomal RNA", at positions 1 to 507 of the family's 1533-position model. The record is from RNAcentral. Lineage: Bacteria; Bacillati; Bacillota; Clostridia; Lachnospirales; Lachnospiraceae.
ACGUUGUACUCUCGGCUCAGGAUGAACGCUGCGGCGUGCUUACACAUGCAAGUCGAGCGAAGCAUUCUGGCUUUAAAUCUUCGGAGGCGAAGCAGUCUGACUGAGCGGCGGACGGGUGGAGUAACGCGUGGGCAACCUGCCUCAGUACAGGGGGAUAACAGUUAGAAAUGACUGCUAAUACCGCAUAAGACCGCGGUACCGCAUGGUACAGCGGUAAAAACUCCGGUGGUAUGAGAUGGGCCCGCGUCUGAUUAGCUAGUUGGCGGGGUAACGGCCCACCAAGGCGACGAUCAGUAGCCGACCUGAGAGGGUGACCGGCCACAUUGGGACUGAGACACGGCCCAAACUCCUACGGGAGGCAGCAGUGGGGAAUAUUGCACAAUGGGGGAAACCCUGAUGCAGCGACGCCGCGUGAGCGAUGAAGUAUUUCGGUAUGUAAAGCUCUAUCAGCAGGGAAGAAAAUGACGGUACCUGACUAGGAAGCCCCGGCUAACUACGUG